AGUUUAAAAUAAUAUUAAGGAUACAGUGAAAAAUAGUAAACAAUUUUUUGGCUCUCUGAUUAAAUUAAAAUUUUGUUCUGUGCAUUUGUCGUACUUGUAUCUUGGUAUCUGUGUACUGUAUCUUCAAACCCCUCUCGGACCAUUUCUUUCUGGCUUAACUUCUCCAACAAGCGGCUUGCUUCUGUCCGAUUUGCACCUGUCCUACACGAGCUUUUCCAAACCUACCAUACCUACCUUCGACGGCAACUCGAUACCACAAAUAUAAUACUAGUACCCAUACUCGUGCCCAUACUCGUACCCAUACUCGUACUCGGAAUCAUGUAAUACUCGCAACACCAGCUGGCAGUGAGGAGGCCCCCUCGCACCAACACCCCCAAUAGCGCUGAUACUUGUACACAAUAGGAUCUACUGCUUCCUAGACUGCUGGCUUCCCCUGGCCAUUUCUUCUUCUGGCGUUUCUUCGUAUUCCAUACUGUUCUAUACUUCAUAACAUCCACACUUUUGUACUACAUAAAAAAACAUACAAAAUAAAAACAUUUUUAC
Long non-coding RNA from Drosophila obscura, 543 nucleotides. RefSeq lists it as uncharacterized. Lineage: Eukaryota; Metazoa; Arthropoda; Insecta; Diptera; Drosophilidae. The transcript has 4 exons. The record is from RefSeq and is a predicted model, not a curated record.